AUUUUAGCCACUAUUGCAAAAAUCCUGUUAGCUUUGUUCAUUUUCCUUAAGCUCAGAGUCCCUUGACAAAGAUGAUACUGAAGAUGGGUUCGAUGAUAAGCAACUCUCUCGGAUAUAUGGCGCUUGAUGGAAGCAAUGAGGAGGUAGCUGAAAAGUUAUUAUUACGCAUGAAGAAUGGUUGGAUGAAGAAUAUAUCAAUGAUGUAGAAAAGGAAAACCACUAAGCUUCUCACCUGACAUCCAAAUGAAAACAAGGAGGUCUAGUAUAUACAUGGCUUGCUGGGAUGAUGAGAGAAGCAUGGUCGUCGUACUUCGAUUGUGUAGAAUCUUGAAGACUAUGAAAAUUUCUCAUUUGUAUAUACAUGGAACUGAUUUACAAGUAAGGACUAGUCGGCACUUAGAACUGACAGCAAGUUGUGUUCAGUUUUCAGGGAUAUUGGCUCUAGCUAACCGGGAUUGGUAAGACAACUCUUUUUGGACUAGUUUAUGACAGACUUUCCAUAAUAUUUUGAUGCUAGCUGCUUUCGUGCAAUUUUAUUAGAGGUUUCUGAAAAGUAUAGUUGGGUUUAUCUGCAAAACCUGCUUAUUUUCCAAAUUUUGAAGAACUUUGUAGAAGGAUAAGAUUUUUAUUGUGGAGGCUAGAGCCAGUUAGUUUACGCAUUGUUUACAAGAUAAAAAGGUUCUUCUUAUUCUUGAUGAUGUCAAUGAAAUAGAUCAAUUAGAAACAGUAUUGGGUAUGGAACACAUGUUUGGUUCAGGUCAUCAUUACAACUAGAAAUGAACAGCUGCUAUUAUCAAUGGAACAGUUGUACUGCAUAUGCUGGUGGCACAGGAAUCUAUGAAAGCACAACGAUUCCUUACUCGGAAAGCCUUUAAGAAAGAUGAACCUGAAGCAGAUUAUGUGGAAUCGACCUGCUGUUCGAUCAAACAUGAUGGCCUCCACACAUUAGUCCUCAAACACAAGUUGGAUCUUUAUUGUAUAAGAAAGGUCCAGAACUCCAGAUAAAUUGAACAUGGAAUAGUACUACUGGAGAAAUAUCCUGAAAAAAGCAUUUUACGGUUGCUGGAAAUUUGUUAUGAUGGACUGGACGAGUAAGAGAAGUCAUAGUUUGGAAAUUUUGUUCAGGAAACAAAAUCGACUGUGGAUUGCUGAUAUUGGUGAUCUUACAUCAAAACUCUGAGUUUGAGGAAUCAAACUUUUGAGCGUUGGGAAAGACUCUGUAACUGGAGACAAGUGCAAUCUUCAAGGGAACUUACAUGAAAUCUUGAACAGGAUUUAGUAUCAUGACAAGCGCACAGACGUUGCACGUCGGUUGAGUUAAUCUUAAGUCUCCUUCGUCGCUUUGCCUUGUGCUAUGCUAUGUAUGUUGGUAACUCUAAUAAAUCUGACCAGAAGGAAAGAAGCAAAGAAAAAGAGGGUUUGCUGAGAGAACUCUCCAGCCCCUCUGAAAGUAAA
Molecule: long non-coding RNA, 1455 nt
Organism: Argentina anserina (silverweed cinquefoil)
Lineage: Eukaryota; Viridiplantae; Streptophyta; Magnoliopsida; Rosales; Rosaceae
Exons: 3
Source: RefSeq, a predicted model, not a curated record